This is a long non-coding RNA of Drosophila hydei, 293 nucleotides long. RefSeq lists it as uncharacterized. NCBI's taxonomy places the organism in Eukaryota, Metazoa, Arthropoda, Insecta, Diptera, Drosophilidae. The record is from RefSeq and is a predicted model, not a curated record. The transcript has 2 exons.
UUUUGUUUUGUUGUCUAAAUUAAAUUGUUUAAGUGUAAUUAAUUAAUUGUUAAAUAUUUACAUACGAGUUUCCUAAUCAAAAAUUUUGACUACAUUAAUUUGUUAAAGAUAAUUUUGAAAACUUUUUCUUUUUCCUUUUGCUUUUUCUUUUCUCUUGGCUGUUUGCUAAAGAAACCUAAAAACUGUUUUUGCAUUGCUGUUCGAAUUGACGAUAAAUGCUUCAAGUCUUAUUCUUGUUGGUUGUUUGUGCGUUUUCCCUUUUGUUUUGGAAGUAUUUGAAUACAAUGAAACGA